Molecule: ribosomal RNA, 402 nt
Filed under: uncultured bacterium
Lineage: Bacteria
Description: bacterial SSU rRNA
Rfam family: Bacterial small subunit ribosomal RNA
Source: RNAcentral
GGGCCCGCACAAGCGGUGGAGCAUGUGGUUUAAUUCGAUGAUACGCGAGGAACCUUACCAGGGCUUAAAUGUAGUCUGACAGCUUUAGAGAUAGAGUUUUCUUCGGACAGAUUACAAGGUGCUGCAUGGUUGUCGUCAGCUCGUGCCGUGAGGUGUCAGGUUAAGUCCUAUAACGAGCGCAACCCCUGUCGUUAGUUGCCAGCAUGUCAUGAUGGGGACUCUAACGAGACUGCCGGUGCAAACCGCGAGGAAGGUGGGGAUGACGUCAAAUCAUCACGGCCCUUACGUCCUGGGCCACACACGUGCUACAAUGGCCGGUACAGAGAGCAGCCACGUCGCAAGGCGGAGCGAAUCUAUAAAACCGGUCACAGUUCGGAUCGGAGUCUGCAACUCGACUCCGUG